This 301-nucleotide ribosomal RNA is filed under the name uncultured bacterium. RNAcentral's name for it is "partial 16S ribosomal RNA". It matches the Rfam family "Bacterial small subunit ribosomal RNA", at positions 509 to 808 of the family's 1533-position model. The record is from RNAcentral.
CAGUCGCCACGGUAAUACAGAGGGUGCAAGCGUUAAUCGGAAUUACUGGGCGUAAAGCGCGCGUAGGUGGUUUGUUAAGUUGGAUGUGAAAUCCCCGGGCUCAACCUGGGAACUGCAUCCAAACUGGCAAGCUAGAGUAUGGUAGAGGGUGGUGGAAUUUCCUGUGUAGCGGUGAAAUGCGUAGAUAUAGGAAGGAACACCAGUGGCGAAGGCGACCACCUGGACUGAUACUGACACUGAGGUGCGAAAGCGUGGGGAGCAAACAGGAUUAGAUACCCCUGUAGUCCCUGUCUCUUAUACC